CACAAAAUCAAUCUCUAAUAAGAAACUUUUCACUUGCCCCACGUGAUUAGAAAAUUGACGGUGUUUCAAUUUAGUUAGUUUUAGUUCUAUGUCGAAUCAAUUCUGAAACUUUUUUUAUUGCAGUUUAAAACUGUCAGAGGGGACAACUUAGAAGGAAUCUUAGAGGAAUCUCUUUCAUAUCGAAUGGCCUCGAAGGUUUACACAUGAGUUUAAAACGUUAAUUCACAUAUUUAGUAAAAUAUGCAAAUUAUUUUCACUUACCCCAUUUACCAACUUGCCCCGCGGUACCUUAUACCUUAAUUUUGAACUUAUGCUGGACUGCAAAGGUUAAUUAAUGAAAUCCUUCGGUCCUAUUUCUCUUAAUUAUUGGAGGAUAAGGGAAAGGGUUUAAUUACUGCUUGGGAAAUAUUUUAAUGAGUUGAUGGUCUUUUAUAUACACAACUUAUGGAGGUUUAACUGUAUAAAACCGCUUUGAAAUUGGAAGCUCCAAUUCUUGUUAAAUUUCUUGCAGGAGCGUAAUUUUCGAGCUAAGACUGCAUUUUGCUGAAGGAAUUUUGCAAUCGAACGGAUCAAUCCCCUUUCGCAUUGAGCUCAGGUUACGCUGAUGAUUUCUAGAAUAGGUUUAUUUUGGAAAUAAUGAUUCGAUGAAUUAAAGGAGAAAGCUUUCGAAAUAGGGAAUGAAAUGGGCAAGGGAUGCUUUAAAAAUAAAUUCUUUCGCGAAUACUACCUCAUGAGAUAUCCUCCCUAAAUUUCAAGAAAUCCUUCUUCAAAAGACUUAUUCCGAGAUUUUUGGCAAAACUUCUAAGCUUCUCAUUACUGAUAGCAACUAGCACAACUGCCCAAAGCUUAUUAUCUUUUUUUGGUAAGAUCCUUGAAAUUUCGAGAUAUUAAAUUGAGAUUGUUGGUGUGGUUUUGUGGAAGUUUUCUGACUUAAUUAUUUGUGUUCUUCAUGAUCUAAGUUAAUUUUUUUCUCAUCAUCUCCCCUAUGCGCAAUCAGUUUUAGUUAUGACAAAUAAUAUUCUUCCAAAGUUUUAAAUGAUUUCAUGCCUUUUGAAGUAUAUAAGCCAAUUGUGCUGGGCAUAUUUCUUGAAACGGCUCAUACAGGACCAGAUUCACAUAUACUUUCUCUCCGUCUUCAAUUACUGUUCAUCACCAAUGAGUUUCAUUCACACCUCAUGCAAAGUUCAAUUCAUUUUGGAGCGAUACCACUUGGCAUUAUAAUGCGUGGUAUGCACAUGAAA
Long non-coding RNA from Aedes aegypti (yellow fever mosquito), 1241 nucleotides. RefSeq lists it as uncharacterized. The record is from RefSeq and is a predicted model, not a curated record. The transcript is spliced from 2 exons. NCBI's taxonomy places the organism in Eukaryota, Metazoa, Arthropoda, Insecta, Diptera, Culicidae.